AUGUUUGUGGGUGUCAUUGAUAGGCAAAUCAGUGAGCUGAAUAGCAGAUUUGAUGAGGUAAACACGGAGCUACUUUCUUGCAUGGCAGCAUUCUGUCCACUUCAUCUAUUUUCUGCUUAUGACCAAGAUAAGUUGGUUAGGCUUGCUACAAAGUUUUAUGCUUCUGAUUUUACAAGUGAUGAACUGGCAAGACUUCCAUGGCAACUAAACAUGUAUGUUAUUAAUGUGCGUAGAUAUGAAAGGUUUCAAAACCUGAAAAAUCUGUGUCAGCUUUUAGUUAUGCUUGUUGAGACAAACAAACAUGAACAAUAUCAUAUUGUUUACAAGCUUCUUAAACUGGUAUUGAUUCUGCCAGUAGCUACUGCUAGUGUUGAAAGGGUGUUCUCUUCAAUGAGCCAUGUGAAGAAUAAGCUAAGGAACAAAAUGGGUGAUGAAUAUUUGAACAAUUGUUUGGUUACAUUUGUUGAGAGAGAAAUUUUCAAUCAAGUGAAGGAUGAAGAUGUCAUCAAUCUCUUCCAAAAAGGCGACCACAAAGUUAUAUUGUAA
Molecule: ribosomal RNA, 546 nt
Filed under: Triticum aestivum (bread wheat)
Lineage: Eukaryota; Viridiplantae; Streptophyta; Magnoliopsida; Poales; Poaceae
Description: partial small subunit ribosomal RNA
Source: RNAcentral